Molecule: unclassified non-coding RNA, 2307 nt
Filed under: Hevea brasiliensis (rubber tree)
Lineage: Eukaryota; Viridiplantae; Streptophyta; Magnoliopsida; Malpighiales; Euphorbiaceae
Source: RNAcentral
CCCGCCCCAAAACUUCCCUUCUGCUUCCUUUUUUUUUUAAUGUUUUUUUUCCCUUCACAAUCACAUGGAUUUAGUGAUUCUUCUUCUUCUUUACUUUACAUCUUGGUAUUUGCCUGAGACUUGAGAUUCUGACAUUAAGUUGCCACUGUUGACCUGCUUUGACUCCCCAGCUCCAGCUGCUAAAGCAAGAACAUCAGGUGAUAUUUCCCAGCUUCCACUUUUUCUGCCCAUCCUAGAGCGCCUGGAGUGUAAGACGCUACGUCCUUCCAAACCCUGUGGGGGAAGGAUCCUGCUUAAAUCCGGAGAAACAUCAGUCAAUCCACCAUCCUCACCCCGACUGUCACCAUUCCUUCUUGCUCUAUCAUAAUCACCCCCUUCUCUUGCAAUGUCAUCCAAUACAGGCUUCCUCCCCAUCUCUAUGUCACCUACAGAUUUUUCUAUGUUUGCACCCACAAAACUACCCAUUCUGGGUGGAAUUUCAGGCUCCUUGCAAACUUUUGUCCUGAAAUUAUUCUUAGAUGGAGGAAUGCUAGAGCAAAAGAUCUCCAAGAAGUUCUGAAACAAUCCUUUGUCAAAUGGGUUGGCUAGUCCAACAUAUCGAUAUCUAAAAUUUUCAUAAGUAGACUGCCAAAAGAAAAACAGAGAGCAAAACCAAGAUUAGAGAAAAUUCAAGAUUCAGAUGAAAUUACAGGAAUCAGCUUAUAAUAUAAACAGAUAAGGCAUGGUUGUUAAUAGGAAAAUGAACAGCGUUCAGCAAGAGCCAAUGACAGGGAUGCUCAACUGAAAACCACAUUAUAAAUCUCAAUGCACCAUGUAGAAUGGUUUCUUACCUGGUUUUUACUGAUUAGAUACAAAUGGAACACACUAAGGCCACCAACAAACCAAACAGAUAUAAAGGUGUAAACUACUAGCACAAUGGAAGCAGGAGUCUUUGUCAUUGCUUUCCAAAUUGUUGUCUCCUCACUAUUCAUGAUCCUCUUGAUGUAAACCCAACAAAAUCCAUGUACAUAAAAGCAAAGAAGAGUUGCAGAGAACACAAACAUGAAGAAGAACCGGUAAUUCCUCUGCAUUCAAAAUCAAAGAGAAAUCAAAUUUGGAAGAAGCAUCAUCAUAUAUGCAGAUAUUUGAGUGAACACUGGUAAAUAUAACUGAAAAAAAGUCCCUUACUAUUUUUAGCAACAUCAUGUCCAUAAACCUUUCUGCAAUUUUUUUUAAAAGCACUGGUUACAGUUGAAAAACAAAUCCCUUAUUAAACUUGUUUAAAAAAGCAUUCUUUUUCUCCCUCACUGUGGAUGGGGACAAAUAAAUUCCAAUAUGGUUUAUUAUGAUGACGCAGAUAAUUUAAAUCCAGCAAAGAAAGAGUACAAUGACUGAAAGGUUAGGUUCCUUGCAGCAGAAUUAUAGAAAUGCUUUAAGAUUCAGAAAGCAAAAAAUAUUGUUUCAGGAGAAUGAUUAUACCAAUCCAAUGCAUUGACCAACCCAAGGACAGUGAUGAUCAAAUCUUUCCACACAGUUAUUACAUAUUGAACAGUGAGAACAGCGUGGAGGCCUAUAAAGCAUGCACGUGUCACAGUACUUGGUCUUCACAAUUAUUCCAUUGAUGAUAACAUCCUUUGUCCAUGGUAAACGAAAAGGUGGAGUUUGGCCUGUUGUCCCUUCAGUGUGCCCUUCACAACCUUCUAAUUCUGGAGGUUGAGCAUUACGAGGUAUUAUACCAGGAUCUCUUCCUGAGGUUAGCAGAAGAAGGAUUAAAUCAAAUGAUGUGAGUACAACGACAAUGACUACAAUUGAUAUUCCCCAGUGAUGAGGAAAAUCAUCCAUCAGCUUUCUUGCUACAAAGACGCAAAAAAUAGCAACUGGAGCAACAAUAAGAAAUAUGGUUAGCAGAAGGGAUCUUGCGUCAGGUCCGAAUAUAAGCCUCCCUUUAAGGAAAAAUAUAUUGCUGCCUUUCCAGACUUGGUAAGUCCUGAGCCGAUCCGUCCCAUCGUCGGAGACGGCAUCUCCGGCUACUGGAUCCGGGGUCCGAGGUGGAGGAGGUUGGACUCCAUAAGUCUCUCUCAUCCCCUCCCUUUUCUUCUCCUCUCUCUUUCUGAAAAAAGUACUCUUUACACUCUUUUUCUCUCCCUAAAAUGCAAUCAAAUACACAAAGGUCAAUUCCAACAGCACUGCAAUUACAAUUCUAACGCAAAAAAGAGUGGAUGAAAGGAGAAAAGCAAAUAAAGGCGGCUCUUUUAUUAAUAAUAGAAAAAGAGUGCUCCUUUUGACUUGUUUUUUUUUGUUUUCUUUGUUUUUUUUUUUUUUUUUUUU